RNAcentral lists this ribosomal RNA (464 nucleotides) under uncultured bacterium. RNAcentral's name for it is "partial 16S ribosomal RNA". It matches the Rfam family "Bacterial small subunit ribosomal RNA", at positions 29 to 507 of the family's 1533-position model. The record is from RNAcentral.
AUGAACGCUGGCGGCGUGCUUAACACAUGCCAGUCGAACGGAAGGGCUCCUGCUUGCCGGGGUACUCGAGUGGCGAACGGGUGAGUAACACGUGGGUGAUCUGCCCUGCACUUCGGGAUAAGCCUGGGAAACUGGGUCUAAUACCGGAUAGGACCACAUUUUGGAUGGUGUGGUGGAAAGUUUUUCGGUGUGGGAUGAGCUCGCGGCCUAUCAGCUUGUUGGUGGGGUAAUGGCCUACCAAGGCGUCGACGGGUAGCCGGCCUGAGAGGGUGUACGGCCACAUUGGGACUGAGAUACGGCCCAGACUCCUACGGGAGGCAGCAGUGGGGAAUAUUGCACAAUGGGCGCAAGCCUGAUGCAGCGACGCCGCGUGGGGGAUGACGGCCUUCGGGUUGUAAACUCCUUUCGCUAGGGACGAAGCGCAAGUGACGGUACCUGGAGAAGAAGCACCGGCUAACUACGUG